RNAcentral lists this transfer RNA (65 nucleotides) under Dynastes hercules hercules. RNAcentral's name for it is "tRNA-Leu". It matches the Rfam family "tRNA". From Rfam's summary of the family: Transfer RNA (tRNA) molecules are approximately 80 nucleotides in length. Their secondary structure includes four short double-helical elements and three loops (D, anti-codon, and T loops). Lineage: Eukaryota; Metazoa; Arthropoda; Insecta; Coleoptera; Scarabaeidae. The record is from RNAcentral.
UCUAAUAUGGCAGAAUAGUGCAAUGGACUUAAACCCCAUUUAUAAAGGACACCCUUUUUUUAGAA